GGGGGUCUCUUCGGGGGGCUGCGACACAGGUCGGAGUCUAGGCACGGUCUCCGCUUUUGGCAGAGGAUGAAAAUAAACUGCCGUCGUUUCGGGGCCGCAGACAGAAGGUUCGAGGUGCAUCAGUGUUAAUAAAUACGGAAACAUUUACUAGCAAAAAACGACAUCUCAUUUGAAUGAGUUGCGGAACGGGUAGCGUAGGGCGGCGGUGAACAGGUUAUUACCACCAUGCAUGCCAUGGUCAUGAAUGUUAAUUAAUUGUUGAGCGGACCCUGCCUGCGCCGGGCGAAGAUCCCGAAGGAGGAGGAGGAGGAGGAGAAAGAGGAGGAACGGCGAUGCCUGCGACCAGUUUGCACAGUUAAUAAAUGCGUGUGCGCGACAUCCAGCAGCAGCUCCUGUUUGUUUGCGGGGCUGUAGCGGCAGGCGUGGUACGGCGCGGUUUGCGCUGCGGAGACGUUACAGUGAUUGGAGGAGGAGGAGGAGGAGGAGGAGGAGGAGGAGAAGGAGGGGGGAGCUUUCUGGAGUUCGCGAUCCAGGGGACACCGGCGUCACACACGCCAAGCCUGAGGCGAGAGGAGAGGAGACUCUGCUGGUGGUGAGGAAGCGCGGCAACGGCUGGAAACGGCCGCCCGUUCGCCGGGGCGGGCCCGAGGCAGAGCGCCCCCAGCAGGUGCACCUCAGACCGAGCGAUUCGGGCCGAGAUGUGGAUUUGGGUCUCGGAUGGCUGGAGGGAGCCGGCAGUGAGGAUCGCCGUGUCGGGGAGGAUCGCGCUGUGAGGUUACCGAUAAGGAGCGUGGGAGAGAGUGGCAGGGCAGGUGUGGGCGUGACCCUGUCCCAGCUACCCCGGGAGCCCGGCCGCACCGCGGGACUCGCCGACGCUCUGGGACAGCGAUGCCACCGGAGCCCUCCCUCGGCAGGGCGGAUGCUGCGCGGCCGAAGCUCACACCCCCGCCUUCUCAGCCAAAAGGGAGUUGGCGGCAGUGAAUUUUUUUUUAUUGUCCUUUUUCCCUAAACCGUCAUUUUGUCCCAGUUCCCUGGGGUCUUCUGUGGUAAGCUGCUUCGAGGUUGCACCAAAUCCCCUUUGUCGCGUGUCAUUAUCGCUUUUUCUCCUCGGGGCUUUGAGUUUUUUCCGCUCCGGCGUUGGGCCGUCCUCCUGCUGUCGUGGGCUUGGGUGCCGGCCGGCGGAGCGCGGCACCCGCUGCCCGGAGAACCCGCCGCUCCGAAUCCUCCGCGACCCGGCGCCGCCGAAGAGGACCGCUGCAGUGAGAAAGGAGGAAAAGGACGAGGGGGCGAAAAUAAAGGCAGAGGGGACCCAUGCGUGGCUUGUGUC
RNAcentral lists this long non-coding RNA (1327 nucleotides) under Scleropages formosus (Asian bonytongue). RNAcentral's name for it is "lncRNA (ENSSFOG00015032118.1)". Lineage: Eukaryota; Metazoa; Chordata; Actinopteri; Osteoglossiformes; Osteoglossidae. The record is from RNAcentral.